CCUCUAUUGGUGUUUGUGUUGCCUGCAUCGAGAGAUGGGGGCAAGCGCACACCAAGGAUAUUGGCAAAAAGCCAAGUUUACAAGAGGCAAUAACAGGUCUGUGAUGCCCUUUGAUGUUCUGGGCCGCACGCGCGCUACACUGAUGCAUGCAGCGAGUACGAGCUGCGCUGUCAAGCGUGGCGAAUCUACAAUAUGCAUCGUGAUGGGGAUAAUCCAUUGUAAUUAUUGGAUUUGAACGAGGAAUUCCUAGUAAGCGCGAGUCAUCAACUUGCGUUGAUUAUGUCCCUGCCCUUUGUACACACCGCCCGUCGCUACUACCGAUUGAAUGGUUUAGUGAGGCCUUUGGAUUGACUGCUGUAACAGGUGGUUGAGAAGCUGGUCAAACUUGGUCAUUUAGAGGAAGUAAAAGUCG
Molecule: ribosomal RNA, 412 nt
Filed under: Kickxellomycotina sp.
Lineage: Eukaryota; Fungi; Kickxellomycota
Description: SSU rRNA
Rfam family: Eukaryotic small subunit ribosomal RNA
Source: RNAcentral